Molecule: ribosomal RNA, 1362 nt
Filed under: Salmonella enterica subsp. enterica serovar Livingstone
Lineage: Bacteria; Pseudomonadati; Pseudomonadota; Gammaproteobacteria; Enterobacterales; Enterobacteriaceae
Description: partial 23S ribosomal RNA
Rfam family: Bacterial large subunit ribosomal RNA
Source: RNAcentral
AACUCCACAUACGCAUCCUUUGCUGAGGAUACGGUUAACGGAGCGAAAGCGACGUUCAACCUCAAAAGAAGCAGAGGGGGCUUAGUGGUGGGGUGACUGCGUACCUUUUGUAUAAUGGGUCAGCGACUUAUAUUCUGUAGCAAGGUUAACCGAAUAGGGGAGCCGGAGGGAAACCGAGUCUUAACCGGGCGUUAAGUUGCAGGGUAUAGACCCGAAACCCGGUGAUCUAGCCAUGGGCAGGUUGAAGGUUGGGUAACACUAACUGGAGGACCGAACCGACUAAUGUUGAAAAAUUAGCGGAUGACCUGUGGCUGGGGGUGAAAGGCCAAUCAAACCGGGAGAUAGCUGGUUCUCCCCGAAAGCUAUUUAGGUAGCGCCUCGUGAACUCAUCUCCGGGGGUAGAGCACUGUUUCGGCUAGGGGGCCAUCCCGGCUUACCAACCCGAUGCAAACUGCGAAUACCGGAGAAUGUUAUCACGGGAGACACACGGCGGGUGCUAACGUCCGUCGUGAAGAGGGAAACAACCCAGACCGCCAGCUAAGGUCCCAAAGUCAUGGUUAAGUGGGAAACGAUGUGGGAAGGCCCAGACAGCCAGGAUGUUGGCUUAGAAGCAGCCAUCAUUUAAAGAAAGCGUAAUAGCUCACUGGUCGAGUCGGCCUGCGCGGAAGAUGUAACGGGGCUAAACCAUGCACCGAAGCUGCGGCAGCGAACGUAUCACCCAAGACAACUUUACGGAGUUGACGAUUGACGGAGCGAAGCGACGUCAAAGCGUUCAUUAAAGUCGAGUUGGCUUAGGGAUACGUUCGUUGGGUAGGGGAGCGUUCUGUAAGCCUGUGAAGGUGGCCUGUGAGGGUUGCUGGAGGUAUCAGAAGUGCGAAUGCUGACAUAAGUAACGAUAAUGCGGGUGAAAAACCCGCACGCCGGAAGACCAAGGGUUCCUGUCCAACGUUAAUCGGGGCAGGGUGAGUCGACCCCUAAGGCGAGGCCGAAAGGCGUAGUCGAUGGGAAACAGGUUAAUAUUCCUGUACUUGGUGUUACUGCGAAGGGGGGACGGAGAAGGCUAUGUUAGCCGGGCGACGGUUGUCCCGGUUUAAGCAUGUAGGCGGAGGUUCCAGGUAAAUCCGGUACCUUAUUAACGCUGAGGUGUGAUGACGAGGCACUACGGUGCUGAAGUAACAAAUGCCCUGCUUCCAGGAAAAGCCUCUAAGCAUCAGGUAACAUCAAAUCGUACCCCAAACCGACACAGGUGGUCAGGUAGAGAAUACCAAGGCGCUUGAGAGAACUCGGGUGAAGGAACUAGGCAAAAUGGUGCCGUAACUUCGGGAGAAGGCACGCUGACACGUAGGUGAAGUGAUUUACUCA